AGCAGCCGCGGUAAUUCCAGCUCCAAUAGCGUAUAUUAAAGUUGCUGCAGUUAAAAAGCUCGUAGUUGAAUUUCGGGAUCAAUAUGUUGGUCGUGCCUUGGUACGUACUAGCUCAUUGGUUUCUCCCUUCUGACGAACCAUGAUGUCAUUAAUUUGAUGUCAUGGGGAAUCAGGACUGUUACUUUGAAAAAUUGAGUGUUUAAAGCAGGCUCGCGCUUGAAUACAUUAGCAUGGAAUAAUGAAAUAGGACAUUUGAUUCUAUUUUGUUGGUUUCUAGGAUCGAUGUAAUGAUUAAUAGGAUAGUUGGGGGCAUUAGUAUUCAAUUGUCAG
This 330-nucleotide ribosomal RNA is filed under the name uncultured Glomus. RNAcentral describes it as "SSU rRNA". It matches the Rfam family "Eukaryotic small subunit ribosomal RNA", at positions 569 to 908 of the family's 1831-position model. Lineage: Eukaryota; Fungi; Glomeromycota; Glomeromycetes; Glomerales; Glomeraceae. The record is from RNAcentral.